Molecule: ribosomal RNA, 694 nt
Filed under: uncultured bacterium
Lineage: Bacteria
Description: bacterial SSU rRNA
Rfam family: Bacterial small subunit ribosomal RNA
Source: RNAcentral
AACGCUAGCUACAGGCUUAACACAUGCAAGUCGAGGGGCAGCAUGUAUCCGGCUUGCCGGAUACGAUGGCGACCGGCGCACGGGUGAGUAACGCGUAUCCAACCUGCCCCGUACACGGGGAUAGCCUUCCGAAAGGGAGAUUAAUACCCGAUGAUGUCAGGAGUUCGCAUGUAAACCUGACUAAAGUUAUUACGGUACGGGAGGGGGGUGCGUUCCAUUAGGCAGCAGGCGGGGCAACGGCCCACCUGGCCGACGAUCGGUAGGGGUCCUGAGAGGGAGGCCCCCCACACUGGGACUGAGACACGGCCCAGACUCCUACGGGAGGCAGCAGUGAGGAAUAUUGGUCAAUGGCCGCGAGGCUGAACCAGCCAAGUAGCGUGAAGGAUGACGGCCCUACGGGUUGUAAACUUCUUUUAUGCGGGAUUAACGUGAGGUACGUGUACCUUAUUGCAGGUACCGCAUGAAUAAGCAUCGGCUAACUCCGUGCCAGCAGCCGCGGUAAUACGGAGGAUGCAGGCGUUAUCCGGAUUUAUUGGGUUUAAAGGGAGCGCAGACGGCAUGUCAAGUCAGCUGUGAAAGUUCGGGGCUCAACCUUGGAAUUGCAGUUGAUACUGGCGUCCUUGAGUGCGGUUGAGGUGUGCGGAAUUCGUGGUGUAGCGGUGAAAUGCUUAGAUAUCACGAAGAACUCCGAUUG